CCUACGGGCGGCAGCAGUGAGGAAUAUUGGUCAAUGGACGCAAGUCUGAACCAGCCAUGUCGCGUGAAGGAUGACGGCCCUAUGGGUUGUAAACUUCUUUUGUAUGGGAGUAAACCAGGGUAUGCAUACCCUCUUGUAUGUACCAUAUGAAUAAGGAUCGGCUAACUCCGUGCCAGCAGCUGCGGUAAUACGGAGGAUCCGAGCGUUAUCCGGAUUUAUUGGGUUUAAAGGGUGCGUAGGCGGAUUGAUAAGUUAGUGGUGAAAGGUUGCGGCUCAACCGUAAAAUUGCAGUUGAAACUGGUAGUCUAGAGUACAGUAGCGGUGGGCGGAAUGCGUGGUGUAGCGGUGAAAUGCUUAGAGAUCACGCAGAACUCCGAUUGCGAAGGCAGCUUACUGGACUGCAUCUGACAUUGAUGCACGAAAGCGUGGGUAGCAAACAGGAUUAGAUACCCGGGUAGUC
Molecule: ribosomal RNA, 460 nt
Filed under: uncultured bacterium
Lineage: Bacteria
Description: partial 16S ribosomal RNA
Rfam family: Bacterial small subunit ribosomal RNA
Source: RNAcentral